Molecule: non-coding RNA, 94 nt
Organism: Phlebiopsis gigantea 11061_1 CR5-6
Lineage: Eukaryota; Fungi; Basidiomycota; Agaricomycetes; Polyporales; Phanerochaetaceae
Source: the annotation of a GenBank genome assembly
GGCCUGAUGGUCUAGGGGUAUGAUUCACCCUUAGGGUUUCAUAACGCGUGUGAGCAUCUGGGUGAGGUCCCGGGUUCGAAUCCCGGUUAGGCCC